This 28-nucleotide small RNA is filed under the name Bombyx mori (domestic silkworm). Its description in RNAcentral is "ovarian small RNA-15956". Lineage: Eukaryota; Metazoa; Arthropoda; Insecta; Lepidoptera; Bombycidae. The record is from RNAcentral.
GAGGUCUAACGGCCGGUCGGGCAGCGUU